RNAcentral lists this non-coding RNA (153 nucleotides) under uncultured Tetragenococcus sp. Lineage: Bacteria; Bacillati; Bacillota; Bacilli; Lactobacillales; Enterococcaceae. The record is from RNAcentral.
GUUAGAGUAAGCCGACGACGAACACUUGCAUUGACGAACAGAAAACUUCAUACAAGGUUGAAUAGGGACGGAUGAGCUUGCCAAACAAAGCAAAGUCCGAUGCUGCACGAAUUCCACACAGUAAAUGAAGCAGUGACAUGAGUGGAAAGUUAU